UGAGUACGAGAUGCUACGGCAUCGAAGCAGUCUAUGUCAUACUUCCAAGAAAAGCUUGCAAUGUCAUAAACAAAUAAUGCCUGUACCAUAACCGACACAGGUGGGUAGGUAGAGUAUACUAAGGGGCGCGAGAUAACUCUCUCUAAGGAACUCGGCAAAAUGACUCCGUAACUUCGGGAGAAGGAGUGCCUUAUUUUUAUAAGGUUGCAAUAACAAGAUCCAAGCAACUGUUUACCAAAAACACAGGUCUCCGCUAAGUCGUAAGACGAUGUAUGGGGGCUGACGCCUGCCCAGUGCCAGAAGGUUAAAGAAGUUGGUUAGCAUUAGCGAAGCUGAUAACUGAAGCCCUGGUGAACGGCGGCCGUAACUAUAACGGUCCUAAGGUAGCGAAAUUCCUUGUCGGGUAAGUUCCGACCCGCACGAAAGGCGUAAUGAUUUGGAUACUGUCUCGGAGAGGGGCUCGGUGAAAUAGACUUGUCUGUGAAGAUGCGGACUACCUGCACCUGGACAGAAAGACCCUAUGAAGCUUUACUGUAACUUGAGAUUGAAAUUGGACUUUAUCUGCGCAGUAUAGGUGGGAGACGUUGAAAAUAUUCUUGCGGGAAUAUUGGAGUCAUCAGUGAGAUACCACUCUUAUAAUGUUAGAUUUCUAACUUUGUAUCAUUAUCUGGUCAAAGAACAGUUUCAGGCGGGCAGUUUGACUGGGGCGGUCGCCUCCCAAACGGUAACGGAGGCGCACAAAGGUUUCCUCUGAACGUGUAGAAAUCGUAUCUAGAGUGUAAAGGCAUAAGGAAGCUUGACUGUGAGACCUACAAGUCGAGCAGGGACGAAAGUCGGUCUUAGUGAUCUGACGGUGCUGAGUGGAAAGGCCGUCACUCAACGGAUAAAAGUUACUCUAGGAUAACAGGCUGAUCUCCCCCAAGAGUUCACAUCGACGGGGAGGUUUGGCACCUCGAUGUCGGCUCAUCGCAUCCUGGGGCGGUAGUACGUCCCAAGGGUUGGGCUGUUCGCCCAUGAAAGCGGUACGCGAGCUGGGUUCAGAACGUCGUGAGACAGUUCGGUCCAUAUCCGGUGUAGGCGUUAGAAUAUUGAGAGGAGCCUUCUUUAGUACGAGAGGGCCGAGAAGGACAUACCUCUGGUGUACCAGUUAUCGUGCCAACGGUAAACGCUGGGUAGCCAUGUAUGGAGAGGAUAACCGCUGAAAGCAUCUAAGUGGGAAGCCCACCUCAAGAUAAGUA
This 1238-nucleotide ribosomal RNA is filed under the name metagenome. RNAcentral's name for it is "bacterial LSU rRNA". It matches the Rfam family "Bacterial large subunit ribosomal RNA", at positions 1564 to 2810 of the family's 2925-position model. The record is from RNAcentral.